RNAcentral lists this transfer RNA (75 nucleotides) under Streptomyces poonensis. Its description in RNAcentral is "tRNA-Ala". The record is from RNAcentral. Lineage: Bacteria; Bacillati; Actinomycetota; Actinomycetes; Kitasatosporales; Streptomycetaceae.
AGACACGCCAGGUCGCGGGGAUGACCCGGCCGCUCGCGGCGGCCGCGGGGCGCCGGUUCAGCCGGCGUGGCAGCC